GCGGGUGUAAUUCAGUGGUAGAAUGGCAGCUUCCCAAGCUGUCUAUGGCGGUUCGAUUCCGCUCACCCGCU
RNAcentral lists this transfer RNA (71 nucleotides) under Candidatus Omnitrophota bacterium. RNAcentral describes it as "Candidatus Omnitrophica bacterium tRNA-Gly". It matches the Rfam family "tRNA". Rfam says of the family: Transfer RNA (tRNA) molecules are approximately 80 nucleotides in length. Their secondary structure includes four short double-helical elements and three loops (D, anti-codon, and T loops). Lineage: Bacteria; Pseudomonadati; Candidatus Omnitrophota. The record is from RNAcentral.